This 916-nucleotide ribosomal RNA is filed under the name uncultured bacterium. RNAcentral's name for it is "bacterial SSU rRNA". It matches the Rfam family "Bacterial small subunit ribosomal RNA", at positions 8 to 916 of the family's 1533-position model. The record is from RNAcentral.
AGAGUUUGAUCAUGGCUCAGAUUGAACGCUGGCGGAAUGCUUUACACAUGCAAGUCGAACGGCAGCACGGGAGCUUGCUCCUGGUGGCGAGUGGCGAACGGGUGAGUAAUGCGUCGGAACGUACCGAGUAAUGGGAGAUAACGCAGCGAAAGCUGUGCUAAUACCGCAUACGCCCUGAGGGGGAAAGUGGGGGAUCGCAAGACCUCACGUUAUUCGAGCGGCCGACGUCUGAUUAGCUAGUUGGUGGGGUAAUGGCCUACCAAGGCGACGAUCAGUAGCGGGUCUGAGAGGAUGAUCCGCCACACUGGGACUGAGACACGGCCCAGACUCCUACGGGAGGCAGCAGUGGGGAAUUUUGGACAAUGGGGGCAACCCUGAUCCAGCCAUUCCGCGUGAGUGAAGAAGGCCUUCGGGUUGUAAAGCUCUUUCAGCUGGAACGAAACGGUACAGGUUAAUACCCUGUGCUAAUGACGGUACCGGCAGAAGAAGCACCGGCUAACUACGUGCCAGCAGCCGCGGUAAUACGUAGGGUGCGAGCGUUAAUCGGAAUUACUGGGCGUAAAGCGUGCGCAGGCGGAUUGUUAAGCAAGAUGUGAAAUCCCCGGGCUUAACCUGGGAAUGGCAUUUUGAACUGGCAGUCUAGAGUGCGUCAGAGGGGGGUGGAAUUCCACGUGUAGCAGUGAAAUGCGUAGAGAUGUGGAGGAACACCAAUGGCGAAGGCAGCCCCCUGGGAUGACACUGACGCUCAUGUACGAAAGCGUGGGUAGCAAACAGGAUUAGAUACCCUGGUAGUCCACGCCCUAAACGAUGUCAACUGGUUGUUGGGGGAGUGAAAUCCCUUAGUAACGAAGCUAACGCGUGAAGUUGACCGCCUGGGGAGUACGGUCGCAAGAUUAAAACUCAAAUGAAUUGACGG